This 506-nucleotide ribosomal RNA is filed under the name uncultured bacterium. Its description in RNAcentral is "partial 16S ribosomal RNA". It matches the Rfam family "Bacterial small subunit ribosomal RNA", at positions 30 to 523 of the family's 1533-position model. The record is from RNAcentral.
AUUGAACGCUGGCGGCAGGCUUAACACAUGCAAGUCGAGCGGUAACAGAGAGAAGCUUGCUUCUCUGCUGACGAGCGGCGGACGGGUGAGUAAUGCCUAGGAAUCUGCCUAGUAGUGGGGGAUAACUUGCCGAAAGGUAAGCUAAUACCGCAUACGUCCUACGGGAGAAAGGAGGGGACCUUCGGGCCUUUCGCUAUUAGAUGAGCCUAGGUCGGAUUAGUUAGUUGGUGAGGUAAUGGCCUACCAAGACCGCGAUCCGUAACUGGGCUGAGAGGAUGAGCAGUCACACUGAAACUGAGACACGGUCCAGACUCCUACGGGAGGCAGCAGUGGGGAAUAUUGGACAAUGGGUGGAACCCUGAUCCAGCCAUGCCGCGUGUGUGAAGAAGGUCUUAGGAUUGUAAAGCACUUUAAGUUGGGAGGAAGAGCAGUUAACUAAUAUUUGACUGUUUUGACGUUACCGACAGAAUAAGCACCGGCUAACUUCGUGCCAGCCGCCGCGGUAA